CGAAGGCAAACGCGUCCUCUGCCAGACUUCCUGUAGUUUCCGGGUAAAUGUCCUCUUCAGUGGAGUCACUAAAUGGAAAGAACCUGCACCAGGCAAUCGUGCUGGAUGAUGAAAAUUAGCUGGCUUGCAUUCUGCACAUGACGCAAGUCGAGCUACAAGGGCUACCAUCCUCUCAUUUAAUCUGAUGCUAGUGUGCAUUGAAGACCACUUAGAAAUGGGUGGUACCCCAGAGUAUAGGCAGCGUUGACGUGCCA
This is a long non-coding RNA of Lampris incognitus (smalleye Pacific opah), 254 nucleotides long. RefSeq lists it as uncharacterized. NCBI's taxonomy places the organism in Eukaryota, Metazoa, Chordata, Actinopteri, Lampriformes, Lampridae. The transcript is spliced from 3 exons. The record is from RefSeq and is a predicted model, not a curated record.